This 1508-nucleotide long non-coding RNA is filed under the name Malus domestica (apple). Its description in RNAcentral is "long non-coding RNA (MDOM_LNC015434)". The record is from RNAcentral. Lineage: Eukaryota; Viridiplantae; Streptophyta; Magnoliopsida; Rosales; Rosaceae.
GAGCAUAAAAAGAAGGAAACAUGCAAAGCAUGCAUCGAAGGUUCAAUGUAGAGAAAGGGAGUGAGGGUAAAGAGAGAAAGAAAUAGGGUUUAGGGUUUGUUGUGUGGAGAUUCUUUGUAUACUUGUCUUACCGAGGUUCUAGUUAUUGAUCGAGGUGAGUGGUUUAUGUAAUGUGUUUAAAAUAUUCUUAUUUUCUGAUAAAUAAAAACCAUGAGUUAUUAUGGAUUUAUCUAUUUUCAAAUAUCUCUCUAUUUCAAGUCAAGCAUGUUGAAUUUAUGGGAUGCUUUCAGAAUUAUUAAUAUAGUGAUAUGUGGUUAUUUGAGGUGUUCAUGGAGCAUGAGAACUUAAGUAUCGGGUUAUCCGAGGGAUAAAUGUAUGGCAAACGUGGACAUUGGGGCGGAAAUGCCAUUUUAAGGGUCAUGUGGUGAGUUAUAUAUUAUGAAGGAUAACCAACAUGUUAAGGAACUAUGUGAUAUGAAAUUAUGUGGCUAAAGCUUUGAUAUUAUUAUCCUAUAUUAUAGUACGAUUAAAAUUGCAAGCAUGACUGGCAUAUUACAUAUUCUACUCACUGAGCGAUGGUGAUUGUUGCUCUCACCCAUCACUUAUUAUUUUACAGAUACGUUAUUUGGCAAGACUGGUGAUAGACAAACUGAGGUUGUCUUAGACGAGGGAUCUAAGAGUUUUAAUUUAUUAUUUUUGUACCCCCUAUAAGGAUUAUGGAGUUAUUUUAUAAGAAUGAAUUUAUUUUCAAACUCGUUUCAAGUUUCCUUUUAAUACUUAACUCACAUUUCAGAUUCAGGUUCGAGUUUUUAUUACCGACCUCAGGUUCGGGGCAUGACAGUGCCCCAUAUGAGGUGUCCCAAAGUAGAACAAGGGCAGACGAAUAACGUCUCUAGCAACGUCCAGGCAAGCAGCAACUCAACCAGUCACGAACAAAGUUUUCUGGCAGUAUACAUGAUCGGAUCAUAUUUAUAUAUAUUUUUACUUCGAAUUCACUCGUCUUUUCUUAGUUAGUUCCUUAUAUUUUUGAGCUAUUUACGUUAUUUUUGUGUUUAUAGGAUAUGUUAUGCAAAUUUACCUUUUAUUGUCACAUGAUAAUACUAAUGUACAUUUUAUAAACAAGUUAUUAUUACAAUUUUAGAAUGGUAAGAGUUCUUCCCAAUAAAUUUAUAUGCCUCAUGGGACGUGAAGCUGCCGAGUCAGUCAGGAAUUAAUCAUCUUCCCCAUAUGAUUAUCGUCGACUUUUCCCACAUGUUUCCAAUCAUAACUUUGGCUUCACAUGCUGAUAAUGUCAUAUUAACAACCCCAUUGCACCCACCAUCCAAUUGCCAAAGCGUGCAAAGAUUCCAAAGGGGAGGUAGGCUGCUUUGGCAGCCGGGAAGAAAAAGAAAAUAAAAUAGAAAAAAGCAGCAAAAAUUGAGGAGUCCACACGGUAGUGCGCAAGAAGUGGAGAAAAGAAAAAUAAUAAAGAAUAGAGAGAAGUGGGAGGUCAGGGACACGGCAUAAUU